GAUGAACGCUGGCGGCGUGCCUAACACAUGCAAGUCGAACGAAGCGCCUUUUAAGAUUCUUCGGAUGAUUGAUCGGUGACUGAGUGGCGGACGGGUGAGUAACGCGUGGGCAACCUGCCCUGUACAGGGGGAUAACAGUUGGAAACGGCUGCUAAUACCGCAUAAGCGCACGAGAGGACAUCCUCUUGUGUGAAAAACUCCGGUGGUACAGGAUGGGCCCGCGUCUGAUUAGCUGGUUGGCAGGGUAACGGCCUACCAAGGCGACGAUCAGUAGCCGGUCUGAGAGGAAGAACGGCCACAUUGGAACUGAGACACGGUCCAAACUCCUACGGGAGGCAGCAGUGGGGAAUAUUGCACAAUGGGGGAAACCCUGAUGCAGCAACGCCGCGUGAGUGAAGAAGUAUUUCGGUAUGUAAAGCUCUAUCAGCAGGGAAGAUAGUGACGGUACCUGACUAAGAAGCUCCGGCUAAAUACGUGCCAGCAGCCGCGGUAA
RNAcentral lists this ribosomal RNA (493 nucleotides) under uncultured bacterium. RNAcentral describes it as "partial 16S ribosomal RNA". It matches the Rfam family "Bacterial small subunit ribosomal RNA", at positions 28 to 523 of the family's 1533-position model. The record is from RNAcentral.